GUUCCCGUAGUUGAGAACAACAGUGGCUUUUCAAGCCGUAGGCCUUGGGGUGGAACCAAGCGGGAAUA
RNAcentral lists this transfer RNA (68 nucleotides) under Colinus virginianus (northern bobwhite). Its description in RNAcentral is "tRNA-Glu". It matches the Rfam family "tRNA". From Rfam's summary of the family: Transfer RNA (tRNA) molecules are approximately 80 nucleotides in length. Their secondary structure includes four short double-helical elements and three loops (D, anti-codon, and T loops). Further hydrogen bonds mediate the characteristic L-shaped molecular structure. tRNAs have two regions of fundamental functional importance: the anti-codon, which is responsible for specific mRNA codon recognition, and the 3' end, to which the tRNAs corresponding amino acid is attached (by aminoacyl-tRNA synthetases). tRNAs cope with the degeneracy of the genetic code in two manners: having more than one tRNA (with a specific anti-codon) for a particular amino acid; and 'wobble' base-pairing, i.e. permitting non-standard base-pairing at the 3rd anti-codon position. RNAcentral also lists the same sequence under 2 other names. Lineage: Eukaryota; Metazoa; Chordata; Aves; Galliformes; Odontophoridae. The record is from RNAcentral.